GGCCUAACACAUGCAAGUCGAGCGGCAGCGGGAAAGUAGCUUGCUAUUUUUGCCGGCGAGCGGCGGACGGGUGAGUAAUGCCUGGGGAUCUGCCCAGUCGAGGGGGAUAACAGUUGGAAACGACUGCUAAUACCGCAUACGCCCUACGGGGGAAAGGAGGGGACCUUCGGGCCUUUCGCGAUUGGAUGAACCCAGGUGGGAUUAGCUAGUUGGUGGGGUAAUGGCUCACCAAGGCGACGAUCCCUAGCUGGUCUGAGAGGAUGAUCAGCCACACUGGAACUGAGACACGGUCCAGACUCCUACGGGAGGCAGCAGUGGGGAAUAUUGCACAAUGGGGGAAACCCUGAUGCAGCCAUGCCGCGUGUGUGAAGAAGGCCUUCGGGUUGUAAAGCACUUUCAGCGAGGAGGAAAGGCUGAUGCCUAAUACGCAUCAGCUGUGACGUUACUCGC
This 450-nucleotide ribosomal RNA is filed under the name uncultured Gammaproteobacteria bacterium. RNAcentral describes it as "bacterial SSU rRNA". It matches the Rfam family "Bacterial small subunit ribosomal RNA", at positions 45 to 482 of the family's 1533-position model. The record is from RNAcentral. Lineage: Bacteria; Pseudomonadati; Pseudomonadota; Gammaproteobacteria.